Sapajus apella (tufted capuchin) is the source of this 764-nucleotide long non-coding RNA. RefSeq lists it as uncharacterized. The transcript has 2 exons. The record is from RefSeq and is a predicted model, not a curated record. Lineage: Eukaryota; Metazoa; Chordata; Mammalia; Primates; Cebidae.
AGCACCCAUCCACUCACCUCCUGAGGUGCUGAAGGACCCUGUGCUGCCUGUGACCUCGCUCCUGAACACCCGCCCCCGAGAUGUCCUGCCAGCAGAGCCAGCAGCAGUGCCAGCCUCCUCCCAAGUGCCCUCCCAAGUGCCCCACCCCUAAGUGCCCCCCAAAGUGCCCCCCUAAGUGCCCUCCAGUGUCUUCCUGCUGCAGUGUCAGCUCUGGGGGCUGCUGUGGCUCCAGCUCUGGGGGCUGCUGCAGUUCCGGGGGAGGUGGCUGCUGCCUGAGCCACCACAGGCGCCGCAGGUCCCACCGCCACAGACCCCAGAGCUCUGACUGCUGCAGCCAGCCCUCGGGGGGCUCCAGCUGCUGCGGAGGGGGCUCCAGCUGCUGUGGAGGGGGCUCCAGCUGCUGCGGAGGGGGCAGCGGCCAGCACUCUGGAGGCUGCUGCUGAAGUGGACCCUGCACCUAGAAGAGGAGAUGUGGGUGGAAGGAGUGAUCAGAUAGAUAUUUCCUCCUCAUCUUUCUCCUCCUGGGCCUGCAUGAGUGGCUGAGAUGCCCUGGUGAAGGCUCUGAGCUCUGGCCUGGAGGAUCCCUCUGCCCCAGGGAUCCAGAAGUUUGAUUCUUCUCCCACAGACCUAUCUGCUGCCCCGACACCAACUGUGUUGUCUACUAUGGGAUCCCAAACCGCAGACUCAAAUUCACCCACCAGCUCAUUUCCCAUUUCCUGCAGCCUCAAGUGAAACAAUAAAGCAAUAGAUCUUCUUGCCAUUUA